Molecule: ribosomal RNA, 448 nt
Filed under: uncultured prokaryote
Description: bacterial SSU rRNA
Rfam family: Bacterial small subunit ribosomal RNA
Source: RNAcentral
UGGGGAAUCUUGCUCAAUGGGCGAAAGCCUGAUGCAGCAACACCGUGUGAGCGAGGAAGGCCUUCGGGUCGUAAAGCUCUGUUGUUGGGGACGAAGGGCGAAGGGUUAAUAGCCCCUAGCCUGACGGUACCCUUCGAGGAAGCACCGGCUAACUCCGUGCCAGCAGCCGCGGUAAUACGGAGGGUGCAAGCGUUGUCCGGAUUUAUUGGGUUUAAAGGGUACGUAGGCGGACUGUUAAGUCUGAGGUGAAAGCUCCUAGCUCAACUAGGAAAAUGCCUUGGAUACUGGCAGUCUUGAGUACAGUAGAGGUAGGCGGAAUUCAGGGUGUAGCGGUGAAAUGCAUAGAUACCCUGAGGAACACCGAUAGGGAAGCCAGCUUACUGGACUGUGACUGACGCUGAGGUACGAAAGCGUGGGGAGCGAACAGGAUUAGAUACCCGUGUAGUCC